UACGGAGGAUCCAAGCGUUAUCCGGAAUCAUUGGGUUUAAAGGGUCCGUAGGCGGUUUACUCAGUCAGUGGUGAAAGCCCAUCGCUCAACGGUGGAACGGCCAUUGAUACUGUUAAACUUGAAUUAUUAGGAAGUAACUAGAAUAUGUAGUGUAGCGGUGAAAUGCUUAGAGAUUACAUGGAAUACCAAUUGCGAAGGCAGGUUACUACUAAUGGAUUGACGCUGAUGGACGAAAGCGUGGGUAGCGAACAGG
Molecule: ribosomal RNA, 253 nt
Filed under: uncultured bacterium
Lineage: Bacteria
Description: partial 16S ribosomal RNA
Rfam family: Bacterial small subunit ribosomal RNA
Source: RNAcentral